GCAACGAGCGCAACCCCUGCCUUUAGUUGCUAACAGGUCAAGCUGAGCACUCUAAAGGGACUGCCGGUGAAAAACCGGAGGAAGGUGGGGAUGACGUCAAGUCCUCAUGGCCUUUAUGUCCAGGGCUACACACGUACUACAAUGGCCGGUACAAAGAGUCGCAAACCCGCGAGGGGGAGCCAAUCUCAAAAAGCCGGUCUCAGUUCGGAUUGGAG
Molecule: ribosomal RNA, 215 nt
Filed under: uncultured Acidobacteriota bacterium
Lineage: Bacteria; Pseudomonadati; Acidobacteriota
Description: uncultured Acidobacteria bacterium partial 16S ribosomal RNA
Rfam family: Bacterial small subunit ribosomal RNA
Source: RNAcentral